RNAcentral lists this long non-coding RNA (29312 nucleotides) under Physcomitrium patens. RNAcentral's name for it is "long non-coding RNA (PPAT_LNC005707)". The stretch from base 10798 to 10843 matches the Rfam family "Histone 3' UTR stem-loop". Lineage: Eukaryota; Viridiplantae; Streptophyta; Bryopsida; Funariales; Funariaceae. The record is from RNAcentral.
CACUUUCCAGGUCGUGUACUCCACGAUCUAGCGCGUUGAGCGAACUCUCAACAACCUGGUACAGAGACAAGCAAGCUCAAUGCGUUACCACCUGAAAGCACGCCGCGAGCAUUGCAGCAGCUACCUCAUCAACAAGCGAUCCUUCGCGAGGCGCAAAAUUUGUUUGUACACUCUAGCCGGCGGGAAUCGAUGACACGAAGGUGGCAAAUGAGGGAGGGAGCCAGGCGCGAGAGGCGCGGAUCUGGGAGCGACGCAAGGCCAAAGUGAGGAAAUGUGGCGGCGAGGGUGUUGGCGAUGCGGGUGGCGCGCAUUGAUGAGAAACUGGAGAAAGCCUCAGGGCUGAGGAUUGUCGCUCCAGGAGAGUGCAUUUGAUUGUUUGUUUCUUUCUUCUUUUUUCGUUAAUUAUGUUUUUUUCUUUGCUUUUCUUUUCUUUUCUUUUCACUGUAGCUCUCACUCUGAUCAUCGUCACGAGUGAGCGGGAGCUCACAAUCAUCUACGAUUCUCGUCUCGUUUCGUCCUCUGACCACAUGGAAAUCGCGGACCCAGCACCCCGUCGAUCCCACCGUGAUUGUCGCGACGCAGCAGGAUUUGUCCCUUUCGUCUACCCCUAUGCGGUGAAACCCACCGUAACUCCAUCAGGGUGGUGCCAAGCUCCAUGCUGCGUUUUGGGCAAGCUUCCAUUUCCACUCCCCCACUUUAAAAACCCACACCCCACUCACGAAAACAAAAAUCCACAAGGUCCUAGAAAUCGGAAAGGUUAUUAAUAACAAAUCCCUGCUGGGUCCGAAACUUGCGCCAAUUCUCCGCCUGAUUCGGGCUGUUUCUGCUCCACCUUGUAGUGUGCUAUCUUAGUGGAUCCGAGGCGAUUCCUGUGGCGUGAAAUUUAUGGGUUUGGAUCCCACUCCACCUUUCGAUGUAUCCCCAUGUGCCGCGAGAAUUGAAUUCCGGCAAGGAGUCAACGAUUGAUUACCAAAACCCUACGCACAUCUUCACGGAUUGGUCACAUUGCAUCUGUUUUUGUUUCUCACGAAUUCGCCGAACACGCAAAAGUGACCCAAAAACACGACCCCAUGCACUACUGGAAACUAGGUUUGUCAGAGAUACUGGAAUCGUGCUUUUUCGUAUUAACAAGGCCACAGUUUGAAUUUGUGGCACAACGAGUUUUAAUUUAUGUAGUAAUGGUAGAAAUUUUCAUUUGGGUUAAUUGUAGAGGAUGGUCAAAUGUUGUGUAACCAUGACCCACCUAAUCUAUUAGACAGUAGUUGUGUUGUUGUUUUAUUAUUAUUAUUAUUAUUAUUAUUAUUUUGUUUGUUUGUUUUGUUUUAUUUUUUUUUUUUGUUUUUUUUUGUUUUUAUUUUUUUUUUCCCUGUCAAGUGAGGUUAAUAACUUAUGUUGCCAUGUUCAAGAAGUGGGGGGUUUAUGAUAGGGAUAAAGAAUAAAGGGGUGAGUAAACCACAUUGAUAAUUUUUCUUGUGUUGGUCAAGACUUUUGUUUCUAUUUUUACUUUUUUAACCAAGGUAUUGUUUAUCCCUAUCAUGUGUUCAUGUGAGAAAAAAAAAAAAAAAAAAAAAAAAAAAAACUAACUCAAAGUUUAAAAAUAGACACAUGUGUUUUUAAACACAAAGAAGAAGAAAAAAAGUUGUACACGAUAACACUUAAUUUUAUGUUGAAUGUUGUGAUAUGUGUUGAUGAUGUACUGCCUAUUUGAAAUAAGUUAUUCUAAAUAAUAUAAAACGUGCUUUUUUCUUUUUUCUUUCUUUUUCUGAAAUUUGUUAUUAGAGUAAAACUUUGUUUGAGUUUCUGUAAAAAAUCAUUUCCUUAAUAUUGGUGAUGACUCGGGUAUAUGCCUAGAAUAUAAAUUCAUUUCUCUCAUCUUAUUCAGCUAGUGAAAAUGGAAGAAAUGUAAUGGAUCAAAAUUUGGCUUCCCUAAAGCAUGAGUGAUCAUAUAUUUGGAAUUGUUUCGAAUCUUUUCUCAUAUUGAAAAUUACAUAGUAAAAAAAUACAUAUAUAUAUGCAUGUAUAUCUCAAAAUAAAUUCAUAACAAAUAAACUAAAAAACUUUAGAAUACAAUAAGUCUGGGAAAUAAAUGUGAAUUAGCUGGCAAAUUAAAUGGGACAGUUAUCAAAAUGAAAUUUGUACUAAUAUUUGUAAGAUUCAAGAGCAUUUUUAAUGGCGUUGGAAGUGAAAAGGCUAUCAAAACAUCCGACUUUACUUUAGUGAUUAUAUAUUUUUAAUAAAACUUUGGCUUCAAGUUACCAUGUAAUUUAUCUGACGCAAUAUAUACUUCAUUCAAAACAAUAGUAUUGACAACAGAGUCGUGUGUAAUAUAUAUUUUCUUUUUACAAUGUGUUCUAUUAUAGUAUGUUCGAUACUAUCAUGUUGAACUGCACGUGGUGCUCAAAAAUUGUAAUUUUUUUAACAUGACAGAAAUCACAGGAAAAAAAUAAAAAAUAAAAAAUAAGAGAGCGAGAGAAAGAAGAGAAAAAAGUUUAGUGCUAGUCUAAUUUUACAUUCAAGUACAAUCUUUGAAUAACAUUGUGAAGAAAGAAAUUAAAAAUCAAACAACAACAACAACAACAACAAAACUUAUUGUUAUAUAUGUAACACAUAUACAUAUAAUAGUCAUUACCACUAGUAUGUAUCCCAUCUACAACAAUGCCAUUCAAUUUUCAAUCCCAGAAACAAAAAUUAUGAAUGCUUACAAAUUUCUCUUCGAACCAAGAUUGCAUUAUGUAAAACUUCUGAAAAAGAAACCUUCAUGGUAGAAAUGGAUAUAUGGAUGAACAAAACACACGCCUUCAUUAAGUGCGUCUACAACAUUCAUAUUUUUCGUUCAUUUUCUCUAAUAGGGUAGGAAUAAAUAAAUAAAAAUAAAAAUAAAAAAAUCAUCUCUCAAUGAGUACAACGAAGGCACAAUCAUGGAAGCCACAUGACCAUUAGAAAAAUUGAGGCUGACAUGGCAGGGUACCUCAGCACACCACCUUGUAAAGGCCAUUCCUUUCAGUUUUUCAACGCACGAUGACCGUGUGUCUUUGGAUGGUUUUCUCACUUUCAUGACUCCUCUGUGCAAAUAAUUGUUGAACGAUAAUAUACUCUUCGUCAUUUUCUGUUCGGUUUACAAUAAAAAACACAAAAUGGUCAGUGUUUACUAAAAUUUGGCAUUUAAUGUGUGUUUGUAUCAAGCAGGAGGUGGGAUGAAAAAUCUGCACCCUUAUAUACAGUACAAGUAAGAAAAAACAAUGUAUCACAAUGUCUUCAUGAUGCACCCCUGAUUAAGUAUGAUUAUUGAAAUACUAUUGCUGAGAUGUUAGAAAUCACUCGCGGCACUAGAAAAAGUCACAAGGAUAAAAAAAGGAAUGACGAGUUAGAACUCCAUAUUUUAGGAAGCGACUGACCAUCAAUGCUAAAAUAAUAAAGGAUUCGCAUCUCCAUUUUCUAUCUUACAGUAACCAUUCUCACGCUAAUAACAUGUUUAUAUUGACUUGCUCCUAAAUUUAAACUAACUUUCAUACUGUAUAAAAUUGAUCGUACAUCGGUUCUUACCUCUGAAUUUGAUGGCUUUUCUUUGUUACCUAAUCCAAUUAUAUUUACAUAGUCUAAAGCCUACGAAAAAAUCAACAAUUCAAUGGAGCUUCUGUGAAAAUGAGUGACAAUGAAUUUCACGUUGUACAGUGUUGAUUCUUCAAACAACACCACCAGCGCGAACUUCAUAUACUACACAUGUAAAUCUGGUUGGAUUCAGUGUUGUGAUUUCUUUGGAGUUUGCGAGGUACUCACUUAUAAGGUAGCAAUCCAGUGAUAAUCGGCCGGAGAGAUGAGUUCACUGUUUGAAGCUGGUGAUAAACUGAGGUACAAUCACCGUUUUUGUGAGCUGGGUCAGAUUGAAACGGCUCAACACAUGGACUGCUGAGUUGCAGGACACGUUUAAAAAAUCCUCGUCAACAGGUCAAGAAUCAGAUAGGUAUAUGAAGACCGAGUGCACAUUACAGUUACGGUUCAAGCCCUAAACUCAUCACCUGUAUACACUGUGAUGCAGCAUUCAUGCCUCUGGAUGUGACGUCCCGGAGUGCUUUUCCACCUUAGAACUCCACCACAGGCUUACUUCGACAGAGAUCUGUGAACGUUACCGUAACUCAAAAAGCAUGGCACUUUCACAGAACCUGUUGCGAAGAAACGGGCUGGUUUCCAUCUAUUGCAAAGAAAUUGAAGAACUGAGAGCAUUUGGCUUCGUGAAGACUCAAACAAAGCUGGCAACCGAGAGAAAUCACUUCUUUCAGAAUCAAUAACAGACUUCAAACCAAAGAUUACUGAACAUGAACAUUAUUCUUUUUUCAAAGCUCUCUCUAACUCUACUCCUUUUGAAAAGUACAAUUUUGAUGAAUAACUACUCCCAAGUUUCGCAAGCCAUUCAGCUCCUAGCCGCCUGCAACAUGCGCGACUGCCAGUGUGAGAAGACUUGAAUUGUAGAAGUAAGAAUCACUUGGUAGGGACAUUGUCAGGGGUAACUUUGUAAAAUUUCAUUGACCUACGCAGGUGCAAGCGGCAACGCAAUCAAUAACCAAAAUGACAGGAAGAAGGAACUCGUUGGUGAGUUUCAACAAACUUAUCUCCAAAACGCGGACAAAUAUGCCAAUAUUGUAAAGAAUAUUGAGAUUUGGCAUCACCUCAAUGAUGUUCCUUCUUUGGAGCAGAAAAUCUCGAUGCAAUGCCAUCCACAAUGAGAUAAACACCAAACAGACCCAAAGCAAUGCCUAGGCCAGGGGUAGCCCUCCUCAAAUGACCGUUGAGAAUUGGGUGCUUGCGGUAUUCAUCCCGGGACUUGAAGAAAUCCCCCGUUGAAACGAGACUUCCCUUCCUCAAAUUUAAACCCUCGUUCGCCAUAGCUACUUGUGUCUCUAGGUGCCGCCUACAAGAGAUGCCCAAUAGAGAGUCAAUAGGUGACAAUGGAAAUGCCCAUCUAGCUCUCAAACUCCAAAUAAAAUCCUCUUCUGCAGAGAACCAAUUGCUACGAAACCUCCCACACAUAAUUCUCUUCCUACCGCUAACAUUACAAGCAAUACGUAGCUUUCUAACAUCACACUUCUAGAGUUUCCACUCCUACAAUGAGUUUGUGAGUCGAAUUCGUCAGAGCUAGAGGGGGAGUGUUGAGUAUCAGAUAUGCUCUACGGUUAGAACAAAGCACAGCACUGAAUGACAGAAACUAGGAGAUUUAAAAAAUUGUAAUCAAACAAAAACUACGUGACUCUGGAAGUCAGCUUUUAGACCUAAUUGGCAAUCGGGUCUCAACAUAACUACGCAACAGGACUGACAUCAACAAGAAGAGGCCCAGAGUAUCAUUGAGUACGCAGGAAGACCUACAAAAAAAUUCCCCGACCGUUCAGUGGGCACUGCGUGUGAUUCACAAUUAUGCAAUAGUUCCAAUCCUAGUAUAAGAGAGAAAACAUGAGAACAAGGGAGACGAGGCAACAACGAAAACUCACCGCAGCAAACCACUCUGACAAAACAAACCACAGAACAACAAGCCCAAAUGGCGCCUCGUGGGGACUUUCCUCCCAAUCUAUGCCACCCACUCCGAAGAGGUUGAAAUUCCACACAAAUCGCUCCUCUGAGCUCUAAACCCUAGAAGGCUUCGGUGAGUGGAACAAGAUAUGGAAGAGCAAACUUUGGAUGGGUUCUAUCCAGUUAACGAAAAACGACCUAAAAACGACCAUUUACAUCAUGCAAGUUUACAUACAUGCACACCAUCUAAAAACAGAUGUUUGUAUUGAGAAUGUUUUAGAGAGAAACAAGAGAAGCUAGAAGCAAUGAGCACACAAAAUAUACACACAUGAGAGAGCUUCUAAAAAACUAUGUAUUGAUGUGAUUGUCUCACUUGUUUAUAAAGAGAAGGGAAGAAGAUAAACAAUUUCUCUCUACUACAUUCUAAACACUAUAGCUACAAUAUUUAUUGUAACUACAAUGAAUGUUAUGGAGAAAAUUGGCUAUAUUUAAUGCUCUCAACACUCCUCUUUGCUCGUCAUAAUAUUUAUGUAACAUAAAAUUUGCAUAGAAUUAUCAUCUAUACUUUUCUAUAAUCUUGUAAGAUUAACAACUAUUGCCUCAUUAAAACCUUAUCUGAGAAAACUAUAUUGUAUUCAAAGACAACAACCAUAGAUGAAGGAAAAAGAAUACAACAUCAUUUUUUUUAUUAUUAUUUUUUUUAAUCAUUUAAAAAAUUCAUUAACUUUCUUGCUCAAGAAAAGCAAAUUGCUACAUGCCAAUGUUAUAAGUAAGUCGGCAAUGGUUGCUCAAAGGUAGAGCUUUGGUAAGAAAAUCAACAAUAUUAUUUUUAGAUUCAAUUUUUUUGAUCUUAAGUUCUUGAUCAAUAACCAAGUCAUAGAUAUAACUAAAAUAUUUUGGAUCAAUAUGCUUUGUCUUGUCGCCUUUAAUGAAACUAACUUGCAUUUGUGCAACACAAGCACUAUUGUCUUUAUGCAAAAUAGUUGAAAAAUCAUGAUAUGAAAGUCCACAAGUUGUCUGAAUGAGUUUAUCAAUUGAUUACAACCAAAUACAUUCCCAAGAUGCUUCAUAUAAGGCAAUAAUUUUUGCAUGAUUGGAUGAAAUUGUAGUUACAGUUUGUUUCAUUGAUUUCUAUGAUAUUGCAACUCCAUGUCUUAAGAAUACCUAACCUAUUUGACAUUUAGCUAUUGCAAUAUUAGAUUUAUAUCUUGCAUCACAAUAUCCUACUAAUUUUGGAUCUGCACAUUGUGUGUAAUAUAUUUCCAAGUCUUUAAUGCCUUUCAAAUAACAUAAUAAGUAUUUGAUGCCAUUCCAAUGUUGUAGUGUUGGAUGUGCAUUAUGUCUUGUAAGAAUAUUAACUGCAAAUGUAAUAUCUAAUCUUAUAAAUGUGACUAAAUAUUAAAAAGCUCCAACCACUGUGAGAUAUGGAUAUUGAUCUCCUAAUAUUUCUUCUUCUUCUUCUUCUUCUUCUUCUUCUUUGUAUGGACGGUAUGGAUUGUCACCAUCAUGACCAUGUCCAACCAUUGAUAUUGAUAGUAAAUAAAUAUCAAUCAUAUUAAAUUUCCGCAAGAUUUGUCUAAUAUACAUUAGUUGAUAGAUAAAAAUGCUACUAUAUGCAUUUAUUAUAUUCUUCCUUGCACAUUGUAUGUAAUAUAUCUGCACUUUGUGAGAUGCUUAAUUUGAAGAUCAAUAUAGAAAGUUGUUUUUCCUAGCAUUUUCAUCUCAAACUCAUAGAUAAGUAGGUUAGUAACUACAACGCAUGUAGAUCUAGUAUCUACUAGGUUAUGAUCAUCAACAUGUAUAGCAAUGAUGACAAAACCAAUUUUAUCUUGUUUGAUAAACAAACAAGAGAUUAGUAGAUCACUUACAAACUUAUUUGUAAUUAAAUAAUCUCAAAGACAUUGAUACCACAUGCAUCCAAAUCGUUUUAGAUUAUACACGGCCUUAUCUAAUUUAAUACCAUGAUAUUGUCAUAUAGUAGAUGCAUUUGGAGUUUCUAUUUCCAAACUAAAUGAAACUUUCAUAUAAGUAUCUGCAUCAAGAAAACCAUAUAAUUAUGUAGUUACUACAUUGAUGAAAUGUAUUUUAAAAGUGGCAUGGACUGCCAUUUUAAUAUAUUAUUGGAAUGCAAUUGAAUCUAUGAUUGAAAAAUAUGUGGAUUCAUAAUGAAUGCCAAACCAUUAGAUAAAUCCUUGGACAACAAGACAAGCUUUAUAGCAAUUUAUUUGAUCCUUAACAUCUCACUUGGAUAUUAAUACCAUCUUAUAUCUUACAAAGCUAGAUAUAAAAGUGUCCAUAAUUGGACCAAAGACUUUCUUUUUAUACAAAGAGACAUAUUCCUCCUUGAAGAUAUUUUUACAUUUUAACUAGUCAAAGUAACACAUUGUUUCCUCGAUGGUUUAAGGUUUAGGAUCCUCUUCUUUAUAAAAAAGAACUUCUAUAAUCAUGCAUGCAAAUGAUUCAUCUAUUAUAAUAGAUGGUCUAUCCCAAAUGUCAUUUCUAGUACAAUAUAAAAUAGAUAAUUCUAUACUCAACUUGGUUUUAUUCGUCUUAAUAUCAAGAUUUUUUAUUGUAUGAGAUAAAGAUAUAAUUUGCAUAGACAUAUCAUUAUUAAUUGAUGGUCCCAUAGGUUUAGUAGGAAUUUCCAUAGAAAUAAUAUCAGAAUUAGCGCAUAUUAUAGCUUUUUUUUUUUAUGUGGUUACUUAUCUAAUCCACAAGUCUUUUUAGUUUUUGAUAUUAUAACAUGAGAUGUAUUAGUUAGUGGUAUUGCAAUCUGAGUAGGUGUAUUUUUAGCCUCAUUAAUAGAAAUUCUUGUAAUCUAAGGUGCAUCAUUGAAACCAUCAAGUGUUUCAUCUACAAUCCAUUUUAGAUACAAAAUCUUAGCAACUUCAAUUUCAACCAAAGAUGUUCUAGGAUUAGGAUUUAUUGUAAACAUUUUUUGUGCUUUAAAUAUAAGUGUUGUAUUUCUUUGUUGAUUAGAUACUCUUCCUCAAAGAGAUGGAAAUACAUUCUCUUCAAAAUGAUAAUUUUGAAAAUAUAUACAUAAUAAUGUGUCAAUUUAUGGUUCAAUAAUAUAAAUAAUGCUUGGUGAAUCAAAACCAACAUAUAUGCCUUCUUAUCGAUGAGUUUCAAUAAUACAUUAUUGAGAUUCUAAAUUGGAAUCUAAGCAAAGAAACUAAACACUUGUAGAUGAAAUAUAUUAGGAAUAUAACUUAAAAUGAGCUCUUGUGGUAUAAUACUUUGAAGAGAAGAAGGAUGGAGGCAUAUUAAUGCUGCAACAUGUAAAAUUGCAUGACCUCACAUAAAUAGAGGUAAAUUUGCCUAAAGAAGGAGUAAUUGGAUAAUAAGUUGUAUAUGCUUAAUAAAUAACUCUAUAAGUCUAUUUUGAGCAUGUUCAUAUUGAACUCAAUAUGUUAACUCAAUUCCUAUUGCAAUACAAUAGUCUUCAAAAGCCUUUGAUAGAAAUUCUUUUGCAUUAUCUAUACGAAUGUUUUUAUAGGAUGAUGAGAAAAUGUGUCUUAAAACAAUAAAUAUAAGAUUGACAAAUAUCAUUUUUUGAGUUGAUAAUAAUGAAACAUGUGAUUGUUUGCUUAAUGCAUCAACAAGGAUCAAAAAAUAAUAAAAUAAUCUAGAUAUUGGAUUAAUAGGACAACAAAUAUUACUAUACAAUCUUUCAAGCAUUUGUGGUAAUUCUUAUAGAAGUUUUCAAAUGAAGGUUGAAAAAUCAUCUUGUUUUGUAUACAUGCAUGACAUAAUUCUAUAGAAUAUGCAUUUAUAAAUUUUAAAAUAUGCCUAGUUAUAUAUGAAAUUAUCUUUCAAAAUAAUGUAAAUCCUGGAUGUUCUAAUUGUUUAUGCCAAAGAGAAAUGCAACUCUCUAUGAUAGAUGAUGCAAAAUUACAUAUGAGAAAAGAUCAGAUUGCAAUUUGGUAUAAAUUAUUUAUUAUAGCAAAGGCUUUUUCAACAACUUAUGGAUUUGUGCCAAAAUCUCCCUCCUAUUUAGAAUGGCAAUUGAGAGAUGAUAAUCAUUGGCACACACAUCUUGGUAGGUAAUUAGACUCCAAGAUAUUGAAGGCGUAAACACUGCAUGUUUAUAUUUUAUGAUGGAACCUGCAGUCAAUUUUACCAUCACUAUUUCUUCAUGGAAACAAAAUGUAUUUUCUUUGGUGUUGUAUUACAAGUUAUCUUGUUUAGAAAUGCACUAGGCACCUAGCUCUAGAAGGUGAGGUUGUAUUUCAGAAGUAUCUAAGAAACCUUAAUAGGUUUCAUCCAUAUGAGAAGAAUAUAAUCUGAAUUUUAAUUCAAAAGUGCUAAAAAAUACUCUUCUUAGUAGCCUUAAUCAUACAUAAAUUCCAAUUACCUUGUUACUUUUAUAUUUAAGCAAUUUAGAUUUUUCUUAUAAGCCCCAAUCUUAAUUAGUGAGCUUUAAGAAGCUAUAACAUCUAAUCUAACCAUCCACUUGAUGUAAAAUUUUGCAUGCAAUUGCCAAUGUAAGUCUUUACCAAUGUCACUCAGCUGCCAACUUGAAAAGUGAAGUAAAAAUCUCAGUAGUGAUUUCUCCUUUUCCAACCGUUAACUUUGACUCAAAAUUGGGUUUUACCUGAUCUUUAAGUUCUUCAAGACGAUGUCAAAGUUCACUUUGAUCCAACUAGUAGAUCUCCAAAUAUCACAGAAAUCCUACCCAACUCCAAACUGCCAACUUCUGAAACCGUCUUGUGCUAAAAACUAGAUAUCUCUAAACCACGCCAUUAGAUUAUCUUAAAAUUUUGUAUACACUUAGCACACUCAAUAAUCCAAAUAGUAUCAAAUUUUGAACUGUAGAUGCUACACCAAUUACACGAACUAGCCAAAAUUGCUAGCCCUAAUUAUUUCAUAUAAAAUCCAAAUCACUAAUACAAAUCCUAAUUUUAAAUAACAAUUGCUAAGUCCUCAAAAAUCUUCUAAAAACAAUCCUUAUGCCUCUGAAAAGAGCUUCAAGCUAACUCUUAAACUCUAUCCUCCGAUCUUCAAAUGAAUUCCUAUUUUACCCUAGGCCAUCAUUUUAGUAGCUAGAGAUCUGAUUUCAACCCUGUCUCACAAACGGUCGACCCCCGAGUAUCAAUCUAACUUAUCCUAAGGAUUUUUUAGCCCAACCCUACUCUUAACUUAAUCCUAGUACCAACUAUACUACUUAUUUACCUCUUCUAACUUGAUUUUAUCAAUUUAUGGUCUUGCUAAGGUAGUAGAAGAGUCUCUAUAACCUAGAAGGUAAAAUUACUAACUAACCUUCAACCUACUAACUAUUAAAAUAAGAAAAUAACCUAAGAGGCUUUUAUAAAAGCCAUUUUUAGAUACCUCAAAUUAUAAUUGAACUAAGAUAAUUAGAUAUUAAUUAGAAAUUUAAUUUUAAUUAUAAUUUCACUAUAUAGUCGUAUUACAUCAUGACACUGCCCAUAGUUAUCAAAUUUUUAGUUUGCCAAGUUAAAGAUUUUUCAAUAAAAAAUCAUCUAUCCCGCAAGAUAGUAUGUAUUAUUGUAAAAUCAAUGAAUGCAUUAUUUGAUUCAUCAUUAGAGGUUUUUUCAUUCAUAUAAGCCUCUAAAUCAUCAAUACCAAUUGAGUCUAUGGAUGCAUCUAUGGUAUGAACUUCACAAGCUUCAGCUUGAAGUAUCUUAUUUUCUUUGAAUAUUUUAACAAAGUAUUUUGAAAUACAAUACAUGUGUGCUAAAUGUCCAAUUAUGCCAUAUUUAUAAUAAGAAUGUAUAUCUGAUUUUUAUUUUUUUAUUAUAAUUAGUAGUAGAAUGUUUAUUCUUUCUAUAUGGAUGGAAAUGGUCACAACUAUGAUUGCCUUGGUACUUAUGAGCAUCUUUUCUAUGUUUGUAUAAUUUUUUUCUUAGCCUUUGAAAUAUUAAAGUACAUGAAAUUCUGAAACCAUUAUUCCAACAAAUCAAGCUUCUAUAUUAUACAAAAGUAGCUCAUUUUGUUUCUCCACAAGAAGUAGAUAGGAUAUGAGAUGACUUUAAAUGACUUAGAAUGACUUUGAAAUUUCAUGUUUCUAUAUGGUUGUACAAGCACAAUAAAUGUGGAUGGAACUAUAGAGAGAGUUUUUUCAAUUAUUUCUUCUUUAGAGAUGCUUUGUCCACACAUCUGUAGUUGUAAGACAAUUCAAUACAUUUCAUCAUUAAAAGCAUUUAAAUUUUAAAAAUCCAAGAUGCAUAAAUGUGUCCAAUCAUGAUAUGCAGGUAGAAAGAAAAUGGUCUUUUGAUGAUCAAACCUAGAUUUAAGAUUCUUCAAAGCUUGGUUGGAUCUUCCAUUUCUAAAUAUUGAUGUUAUGAUGUAGGUACAAGAUGAUGACAAAGAAAAAGAAGUACUUUCCAAUGGAUAAUAAGAAGAAUAGAAGUACUUACAAUAGGAGAUUCUUCAAGCAAAAUUGAAUCCAAUAAUUAUUUUGCAAAUAGGUUUAUUUUUGCCAUUUUUUCCCAUAAAUGCUGGGAUGCAAAGAUAAUAGUUAGAAACAUAGUAGAGGCAGUUGAUGAUGUUGAAGCACUCAUUAUAAAUAAAUCUAUGAAGAAAAUACAAGAUCAAGUAGAAAAGCUUGAAUAAAAUAGAUCUUGAAAUAUAAAGUCAAAUAAAAUAAUAAAGUUGAACUUGAAAUCAAAAAUGUUGAAAUUCUUUGGGAAGUUUUUUUUUUUUUUUUUUUUUCACAACAACAAGGGUUUGCAGCAGCAGCAAAUGGCAACAGCAACUACAACAACGGAUGAUGGACAUCGACGAUGAUUGCAUACAGCAGAGUACAACAAUGGGCGGCAGUUUAGUAACAAGGUCGUGAAGGUAAGCGGGAGCAACAGCAACUAGCAAGGCACAGCAAACAGCAGGGAGGCAGGGCCAUGUAGGGAAAGAAAAAAAAAAAAAAUAAGGAGAAGGCGAAGGCAAAGGGCAAGGUGUACACAAGUUUUUAAGAACCAAGAAUAAUGCACAAGAGUGGUCCUACUGAUAACCAAUUGGAACAUUGCUCCUAAAGAAUUGGAAAUCAUGAGGUACUGUACAUUUUGGGAACUCUCUUCAGAUACUACGCACGGUGGAUUGAUCCUUUGGUCAAGUUGAUAGAUAUUCAUGGAAAAUGUCUAGGCUCCAAAUCCUACAAGAAUCAAUCUCUAAACUUGAAGUGAAAACUGUCGUGAAGACUUGCUGUGGAACUCUGGACUUGAGUGUUGACAUGGAGGCCUAGAAAUGUCAUAAAGAUGCUUCACAUAGGUAAAUUAGCAUCGUAUCUCUUAUGUACAUGAAUUUGUGAUGGGUGGCUUACCUGCUGAGAAUAUCCAUGAGAAAAGUCAUACAAUUACAGGGUGUUUCAUUUCGUUUAUGUACACAAAUUGAGAUACUGCUCUACCAGUCUUGUGCAGGUCAGAAGGGUCUGAUCAGUUAGGAAUACUCAACGUCAUAUAACAAAUUUUGCACGUACAAUACAUCGGAUUAGAUUUCUAAAGUUCUUGCGACCACUCUCAGAUGAAUCCUUGCACCACUUAAGAAUGUAUAAAGUAGUGGUCACCUUGAACAAGAACCUGCUAGGAACCCAUGUGUGGAUCACCUUCAAUAAAUGAAUAAUAAGGGUACAACUAAGAACUGGCAUCUUACUCAAACUUCGCCAUGAACGUACGUACAACCAAUAACCCAGCACACUUAGCUUAGGAUGCAAGGGGUUUGAGAGCUAAAACGUGCAAGAUUAUCAGAAAACAUGAACUUUCUAUCACUACAUUUGACCGACUAUCGACUAAACAGUGAAGUGAAAGAAACGUUGCAAUCUGCGUUUGGAUCUUCAAUGCAACGGCAGAAAGCCUCCUCGUCCAUAGGAAGUACGGCAGGAAGAGGGCGAUCUGGUGUGAUACCCACCUGCAAUCAUUCAUUGGAGAAACCACAACAUCAUGUACAGAAUUAGCUUCGCAAACUCUCCAUAAACGAGCAUUUUCGAGAAAAUUGCCGCCUUCUGAACUACAAUAACAAUAGUGAAGAAAGGCAACACAAACUCCUCAAAUCUACAAACAGGUACGAAAUAAGAUAUCCAACAAGUUGACGAGGGGAGUAAGCCUUUCUUGUGGUCAUUCAGAAACCUAAAGCAGAUACCAAGGUUCAAUCAUCCAGUUUACUCAACAAAAUUGAAUUCAAUGGUAAGAGGAGAGGUGGAGCACCUUGUCAAUGUUGAUGUGAGCAGGAGUUUCGUAGCGAGCAAUGGUUACGGCCAUGCCUGAACCAUCAGACAACUGAAACACGGACUGUAUUCUCCUGCUCGGCCAGUAGUCAUGAAUUAGAGAAGAGACUAGAGAUGUGUGACUAACAAAAAAAAAAUGGAGAUAAAAUGAUUCUAAACGACAGUCAAUACUAACCCUUUUCCAAACGUGGGUUCUCCAAGAAUAACAGCUCGUUUGUUGUCCUUAAGAGCACCCGCUAGAAUUUCACUAGCACUCGCUGUGCCCUUGUUUACCUGGCAUCAAAUAUCCACAAAUUUCCUGAAAAUAUGUAUACUACAAGACGUAUGAAGAGCCUCCUUCAGAUACAUGAGGUACUGAUGCGGCUUUCAACACAAGACAAAAACUUGAAAUCCACAAGAUAAUCAAAUUGCUUACAUAUAAAAACUUCUACAAUUAAUGGUGCCUCAGAGCAAGUUAAACUGGAAAGAGAUACUUGAACCAGCUUACAAGUACAGCUAGAGGCUCUUUGGUAGAGAUAGCUGAAUCCCCAUCAGUAUCAUAAAUAUCUCGAACGCCCAUGCUGUCUGCAAUGUAGACAAUGACGCCUUUGUCUAGCCUGGUGACAAUCCAACUACAAGCUUAGAAUCAUCCUGCAAAAUUUCUGUUGAAGAUACUUGGUAGAGAAAUACCAAGAAAACAUUCCCUUUCAUACUUCACUGUAAAAUCAGUCCUGACUUGCUACGACUAGCUAGCCGAAAGACAUCGGAUGACAAUACCAAACACUUAAAUCGGCGACCGACUACAAUAGUAAACAGAUACUGGGUCAACGCAAAAUGAGUUCUUAUAACUUACCACAUCUUUGCAAUCUCGACUCCAGAAGGAAACAGGCCACCACUGAAACACGACACAACAUCCAUGUCAAAGAUUUCUAUAAAAGAAAAAUGUUCAUAACUGGUAAACUGAGGCGAACAAGAAUACUCACAAACAUGCUGGACAGAGUUCUAGCAGGGACACUUCUUUGCUUACUGCUGAUUUGAUAACUUUCAGACUAUUGCAAGCAUGAACCCUUGUGCUUUUUGGUCACGUUAGACAAAUGUUUCAACUAAGCAUUAUCAAACCAAGCCUAAUGUUAGCCAUUCAGAUCUAACUGUUCUAAAAAGUUGUGUCAGCUCUAGUGUUGCCUGUAACAUGCAGAGUUGAUAUAUAGUAAAACCUGUUAUUACGAAUGUCGAGUAUGAAUGCGGCUGCCCCACUCUCCUGCAAAGUCUCGAUAGCUUUCUUUACAGCACCUAAUUUGUAAAAAAAAAAAAAAAAAAAAAAAAAAAAAAAGAAACAAACAAAAUUUAUCAGAAUACACCGCUAAAAUUUAGAAAAAGUGCGCUCUAUCAAUCUCGAAGCAUAGGAAACUGACUUUUUUUGCAAGACUUUGAUGGAAUUUUAAAACAAGCAUCAAAAGAGGAUGUCUCAGAGAACCAUGUUGAAGUUGUCGUCAUGGAGCGCAAGUAAGAAGUUCAAAUAUUAAUUCACAUGUGAAGUCAAACAAGAGAGCAUCGUGGACGUACUGGAGGAAUUCUGAUUGAAGGUGGAGAGCCGAAUAUAGCCCAACUUUAAUGGAGCCGAUCCGUCAUUUUGUUUCAUUUCACACAAUCGCCAAGUGACUGGGUUUAGCGUGAUCUUCUCUCUCCUGUAAAAACAGUGGAGGGUUUAGCGGCUAGAAAUCCAGUUAUACAGUUUUAAAUGGGAUCGCUCAAAAACAUAAUCACUUACAUCGAAAGCGGUGAUGGAGCUUACAAGACCGUAAUAGUACUUGGUGUUGUAGCAUCUUUCUUUAGUAGCGUCAGUUCAACUUGCGAUUGUACAGGACCCCUGUUAUAAAAACCAGAGAGAAGUAUCAAAUAAAAACCUACGAUAAGUAAAGAGAUAAGAAACCUGCGUCAUUCUCAGGAAACAUUGUCUAGUCCCAUAAAAUGAAUGCAAAGGGUAGUUUUGCAUCUGACACAUAGACAUUCCCUACACUUGCGUUAUCCAAUUUCGUUUAGAAGCCCAAUCAAUGUGACAUUUUGUUGCUUUCCUUCAUAAAUCUCAAUGGUCAACUUACUGCAGACGCCUUGCUGCGUCAUAAAGACCCAUGCCAUGGGUUGGGACACCGUCAAUAGCUGUGAUAACAUCCCCUGGAAGUACUCCUGCACGCGCGGCAGGCCCCCCCGAUACUGGGGAUACUACCACCAAAUCUGUAUUUGAGGUACUUGAAUCGCUUGUGUUGAAACCAACUUCCAAUCCAACCCCCGUCACAGCACCAUUUGUACCUGACUGCUUGUCAGAUAUCACAUAAGGCACUUCAGUUAGUAGAGAUUUAGUUAGGAAAGAGGAAACAAAAACACAUAUUAAUAAAGUAGAAGAAAAUCCUCGUUUUUUGAACAGAUAAGCAUCUAAAUUGAACAAAGCACUUGAGAAAAGCUGCCACCGGUUGGUAACAGUUCUUGGAAAUCGUUAUUUACCUGCAAACUUUUGAACUUCUCCGGCUCCAAAAAUCGGGUGAAAGGGUCGUCCAGAGUGGCCAGCAUCUUUCGAAUGGCUGCGUCUGAGCAACCACGGUAUGCACAGAGCCAAUCCUGAUUAAAAUUGAGUCAGCUUAAUCCCCAGCUGCUUGACAUGGAAGAUGAAUACGCACAGAACGGUAACAUCAUCCAUGUUUACAAUAAAGACCCUAAACGCUAUUUCAAAUGAAGGUACAUUGCAGAGGAGAUAAGAGCAGUGACCAAAAAUUGUUUGGAUUUGAACUCAUUCUGCAUGCUACUCAAGGGAAUAAAUCUGUUGGGGGAACUGUGAUUUAAUGCCUACCCUAAGUUAUAAUCAACUUAUGACAAUUUCAACAUCAAGAUUUGAUUGGAUAAAGGAGAAGAACAAGACCGUACAAGUUUCCUCUCGUGUUUUCAUGGGCUCUUUCUUUAAAGCGUCUUCCCGGUACCUAAACCAGCUCUGACCAUUAAAGGAUUUGUCCACAUAAGCACGAUCAACAGUUCGCCAUGCCUCAAGAAAGAGGAGAUUUUCUUCUGUCAACGAUACUGGAAGCAAGCAAAGGGUAGCCUUGUCAAUACGUCACGUGCAAAUGAACCACAAAGAUUGAUCACUACACCUGCAGCUAGACUACCGUUAAUAAUCAACAACGCAAAAAAAAAAAAAAAAAAAAAAAAAAAAACACUGUUAUCCACUUCAUAAAAUCACCACACUUGGUGGAAUAAAUUGAAGAACGAACAUACAUGAGGGCUGAAGUGCAAAGCUGGCUAGAGCUCCAGUAACGAUCAAAGAACUGAGGAUGAAAACCAGGCCACGCCUCUUUAUCGAAGCUUGCCAAUGAGACUGAAACCCCGGCCAAAAUACAAAUUAGGCAUUUAUCUAUAAAGAAUCUUUUCACUUGCACUUCGUGAUACGUAGGUUUAUAUUCCUUCAUUCAGUAUGCAUGAUGAUGACGGAUUACAAAUGCAAAUUCUCACCAAUUGCUCAGCAACUUCCCCAGCAUCGAAGCUUUCAAGAGCUGCAGGUAGACACCACAGCUGCCUUCCCCACCUGAGCGCAGUGACUCUCUGCUUCCGACCCCACCCACAGAGCAGCGAGGCACCCCCUGACAACUCAUUUGGCCUAUCCGAGCUUGCCGUUGUAAGACACACUUGCACAGAAUGAUUUUGCCUCAAGAAGACCCGGGCACUUUCCACACUCUCCUUGACUGCUCUACACGGACCCUUCCUCAUCGCCAAACCCUGAAAAAGUAUCCAAAAAUCCUCAGAGGUAACACAAUGCCAAAUAAGAAAUCAACUUUUCUCGUUCUCACGCCGGCCUAAUCGUUGAAAACUCAUUCUACCCUCGUGAACUCAUCUACUUGCUCAGAAGUGGAAAAUUCUGCUUCUCACAUUAAGGAUGAGAGUGGAACACAUGGAAUGUGCAUUCUGUGAAAGUAGCUCCCAAAAGAAACCUGACCGUGCCAUAAUUCCGUCGCAAUCACUCUGUAGAAUUAGUAAGGUAGCCUUCGAUCCCAGCAAUUCAAGUUACGUUCUCAAAAAACCCACAAAUUCAGAAGACCUCACAAACUACACCCCUGUCCACCAAAAUAAGCGAACAACCAAUUCGACACAUUCUCGAAGUAAUACACUCAGCUAACAUCGCGUAAAACCCUUGACUCCAGAGGAACAAUUGCAGCAGCAAACCUGCAGCGUGGCAGUGGGUGGUGAAGAGGACGUUACGCCGUAGCGGCACACGACGAGAGAGGACGCCAUUCCGGAGGGGCAGUGGAGGGCUUCUGUCAUGUCCCCUCCCUCCCUCUACCUUACAAGCUCCCCGGAAUCGAGAAGGCUAUUCAAGGCAAAGAUGAUUUCAGAACAGGGAGAAGAGAAAUAAGUUGGUUUGGACUUGACGGAACGAUGGCGCGCACCUGAGCCCACGAGUGACGAGAUAAACAAUAUGAUAAUAAGACUCUGGUGAAUGGUGAUGCGGUUUAGAGCCUCGCACCCACGCCAACCACCAUCGCUGCCUGCUGCCUCCCCGUCACAGACUUUUUCAUUGCUUCAAUCUGCGAUGCACUGAAGAAACUUCGUCUCUUCCCAUAGAUUUUGUCGUUUAUCUUUACAAUUUUACAUCGAUUGCAUGGCCUUUCAGUGGAUGUUCCAGCACUGCAACUUGAAAAGUGGUAUAUUUGUUGCUAAUAUUAGUUUCCAGUUCAUGAGUCCUCAACAUUGAAUUGCUGCUUCUCUCAUGGAAAAACCCAACAGCAUGGAAAUACAUCACUGCGCGUUUCAAAGCGUGAUAACCAUUUUAAAAGUCAAUGUUUACGAUCGAAAGUAGUCAAAGGUCUCUCAAACGUCAGGGUUACUCUGAAACCAUUUGAAAGUUUCAUCCCUUGUCACCAACACAUUGAAAAGUGUAGUAGACCAAAACAUAGGUUUACAAUUUGGCUUGAUUUGCCAUUUACCAAAAACAUGAGAACAGCUGAUCAACAAAUCUAAGACACAACGACUUGUGCUGUCUGGGUUACUAAUCAAUGAUCAUCAGUAAGCCAAAUGACAUGUAGGGAACAACGCCAAGGUUUCCUGUAAGAUACCAAUUCAUCUCACACGUCAUUGAGAUUUUUUUGAAAUUAUCAGCAGUCUUCAAACGAUCGAGAGAACCACGGGUAAAAAUAGCGAGAGGAGAAGAAGAAAGGAAGAAAGGAAGAAAGGAAGAACCACACGCAUGAAGUUGCAGAUACAGAAAUCCUAAACCAAGGAAAGCAACCCUGAGCAACAAGUCCGUUGAAACAUUUAUUUUGAGGCAAUUCCAUUACCAGAACCUUGCGAAAGGGGUUUCGUUUUCUCAGGCAGCUUUUAAUAUAAGGGGCCCUAUCCAAGGGCUACCGCCUUCAGGGGCAAGGAACCUCCAUAAACAUGAUCGGAGGUGGAUCACUUCAGACAAACUCAAAAAACCCUUAGAAAACGUUGACACAAAAUUACAGCGACAUUCUAAUUGUAGUAAAAACUAUCCACUUCGCGAGUUGUGCGGAGGCUGGUUAAAACUUGAGUCUAUCCAUAUGCAGCGGAGAUGGGAUUCACUGCAGCUAAGGGAUUGAUUUGUACACUAAAUGCUAACUGCCAGAAGUCACGUAUUCCUACUCCAAAGGAGUUAAUUGCUUUGCCUAUAAACCUACACAAACACACAAAGAGAGCGAAUCAACUUAACAGAGGUAGAUUAGCAGGAAUCGAGGCUUCCAGCAGUAUUUAAAAAAAUUCUCACAAAUAAAACUCCCACAUAUAUAAAGGCUACAAGCAUACCUAACACAGGGAUGCUAAUGCAACAAACGAAAUACAGCAGAAAAAACGACAGAUAGUUGCACAACAGAAAAUUAAAUGACAGAUAACCAUGGUCCACACACCUUCUCCAUGUUGGAAAGUGUCUGAGGAAGAAAAAUAGUGCUACAAGAGCCCCAAAGCGUAACACAUUCCCUUCCAGAUGCUCUGAAGAAAGAGGAUGCCAUGCUGAAGUAGCAGCGCUCACUCGUGCGAAUGCCAGCUCCAGCAGCGUCUUUAGAGAGAAAAAACCUUCCGAGACGUUUAACUUCUUCAACAAAGCCAUAGAUUUUGAACUUAUCGAUGAAUCAUCAGCUGCUUUACAAGUAUUCAAUUGACAUCUUGGGUCGCUACUUUCUUCUGUUUCCAUAUCCUUCACUGGUUCUUUUAUGUGAAUAGAUUCCAGCACGGCGGUUGGGGUGCCAGAAUUUAAACUUGAGGUGGACUCGGCAAUUGGCUUGAGGACCACUUCAGCAAAUUUGGCUUGUUCUAUCUGCAACUGGAUUUUCUUCAACAGAACCUUCGCAAAAACAUGCAAGAUUGAGAAUAUGAGACUAGAAAUUACCAUAAAUUUUUACAUCUGCUUCACAACCAGGGCCAAUAAAAGCAGAAAAAAGCGAGAAAGAAAAUCUUUAACUUGAAACAUGACCAGAAGACCUACCGAACGUCUGUCCUGAGUUAAACUUGCACGUUUCACCCAGUCCAAUGCAUGCUCAGUUUCCUGAAGCCCUUCUGCAAGCACUUUGAUGACGUAGAGUUCCACAAUUUCCGCAUAUGCCUCUUCCAAUAAGCACAUACUCCGAAAAGCCAGAAAUUCUUCAAGCGCAGCUCGCGCGGCCGGAAACGCGCCAUCUGCUACUUGCAAACAGGCCCUGAGGACACAAAUGUGUUACAAUCCUCACUGUUUCCACAUUUUCAAAAAACUUAAAGGGGGGGAACACGGGUGAACCUUGAAAGUCAAGUGUAAUCAGAGGCUCUUUAAAUUCCGGCUAUAUAAAAAUCUCUCAAAAUCUUAACACUCGUCUCCGGUUACCACCAACGAAGCACACAAAACGUAAUACUUACUUGCACUUAAGCUGACGAAAGAAUAAUGGAAAAUCAGGAGAUAGACCACAAGAUAUGAAGCCAACUGUGAAUGCAAAGGGCAUCAAUUGGGAACACACCCUAUUUCGACAAGAAAUGGUGGCCAUUCAGCAACUCCAACAUUAAGCGCUUUGAGUGAAUCGAAAAAUUCGCCAACUCUGCAACCAACCACAAGCAGACAACCUAACAACUUUCAAUAACUCAAUCCCAUAAGGUACAUAAUCUCCAUGGAAUCAAACAGCAUAUUAGUUACAACUACGUAAACGACGGUUAUCACUUCAGAUAAAUAAGAGAACAAAUGAGUGGCCCCAAUUCUCAGGUCCGCAUGCAAACAUAAGGCACAAUUGUAGAGUUGAUAGAGAGUACACACAACAAAAAAGGGAUUCGCAUACCUCUUUGACAAAAAAACAACUGGAAUCGGAACGUUUUUCUUACACUCACCUGCCUAUUGCACGGUAGCUCUGAAGCAAUACCAUGCCCGCACACUCCAACAUUUCUUCAUGUUCGGACUUGCCAACCUCAGCAUCUUCUGUAAUAUCCUCCCUAUCACUGCCGCAGCUUUCUUCAUGGUCGCUUAAGUGCAUGAGACAGGAUAAUGUUUGCAGGAUAGUCGUAGCUGUUGAGGCUGCAUCCUGAUACAUGGCGCUAACCAAGAACCUGUCUCCACAUGACAGCAUGCUUGCUAAAUUGAAUUCCUCGAGAAUAGCUGCAAGAGAUAUAACACUGACUGCUAACGCAUUGACUAGGAUGAUACUCUUCCAACUUGAGCACAACGUAGCAUUCAACAGCACAUUGAAAAAUCGAAAAAAUUCUGGAAGUAGGUGAAGAUGAUAGAAUUUAUCCUCAACUCUGUGAGUGUCCGCAAUGCUGACACAAAAUCCUCCGUAAUCUAAAACUCAUGUUUAAAGGGAAUUUUUGUGCUUAGCCUUCGGACCUACAACACACUAUAUAGAUCUACGAGAAGCACCUUCGACGCGCUAACCCUAGCAGAUCGCCCACGUCAGUAAUAAUUCACAAAGAUAUCGAAAAAAAUGUACCUCUCGGCCAAUUCAAUUUUGUUCCAGAUCAGAUCAGCCGAGCAAUUAGCAUCCACAGCAGAGGGCGAAAAUUUGAAUGCAGAAUAGGAGGAAUCCCACGGCAUGUCCUCCUCACCUUCAUCACCCAGCUCCUCUUCACUCACCCCAACCUCGCCACCCUUCUCGAGCUUUUCCAUGGCUUCAAUAGCUUCUUCCUCCACAAUCUCCACCGCCAUGAUUUGACACCUGACCUAAAGCUCGAUCACCUCCUUUCGAAUCAAAGCUUAACGAUCCACAUACUCCUCUUACCACUUCUUCUACAAAUGCACGACCUCGAACCCUAAAAUUCAGUAUCACGCCAAAACGCGAAGCAAAGCAAUUCAGGUGUGCAGGUGACGGAAUUUUCGGCAUCGAAGAGGAAUCCUGCAAGAACUGAGCGUCAUGACAUGAAAAAUGAGUAUGAGAAGCAUAAACUCAGAGGCCAAAUUGCGCAACGAUUGUAGAAUUGCCCACCGCUGCACGUCCACAAACACACACACACUGCAAAUGUCUUCCCAUGCCGCUCCGGAGAGACUGACUGACGAUUCUGCACCGAACCCACCAUCCUGAUCCUUUUUCGUUCUGGGUUCCGGAUAAACUUUACCGUUACCUUUAAAGUAAAACCUGCCGCGACCUCAGCACUUCCCCGGGCUCACGAUCCAGAUAAAUGUGGGAACUGUAAUUUGAAGACCACGACGUUCAUCCGCCUUCAUCCGAGGUUUAAGAUGUGCGAGACGAAAGGGGGUGGAAAGUGUUUUAUUAUACAUGUAAUUUGUAUUCUAUGAAAUCAAAAUCCAGAAGGUUUGUUGAUGUUUUGGUUAAAGUUUACAGGAUUCAUGGAUACUAUUGUCGAAAAAUGUUAUAACCGCAUUUCGGUUUAAAUAUAGGGGUAAUUCUUGUUUCCUAUUUUUUUUUCUCCCUACAUGCCGAUAUUUAUAUAUACGUAUCUUGUGAAUAAUACUAAACUUGUUUUUGUAACAGAGACCAAAUUUCGAACAAUUCAUACCUCACAACAGUACUUUUAACGCAUGGGAAUAUAAACCUUAUUGACUGUAAGUGCAAACAACGAGGUACAUGGCAAGGCGAGGAGAUUGCCACCCUAAGAAAAAGGGUCCCUAACCAAUGUUCAUCCAAAUAAUACCACAAAAUAAAAUGUUUAAUUAUGGAUGUUGAACAAGGGUGAUGCAACGUUCUACCAUUGCACCCACUAUGUCCAGAGAUGAUAACAAACUACUGGUAGGGGUACCACGCGUGUGGGUGCCCGCGAAGGCGAGGCGGCAAUACACCCCCUGACGGGCCGCGCCGUUUGUGAAAAUCAGACUGCAGUGAGUGAGAGAGUCAGUAAGUUUAUGAAGGUGUAUGAGGAUGUGCUAGUGUGAAAUUAGAAUAAGAUAAAUUUGUGGUGAAGCAUCAACAAUCCAGAUGACACGAGACAAGUUCUGAUGAGCUCGAAUGCUUCACAUGAGUAAAAAGCUGGACCACCUUCAAUUAUCUUCGCAAAGAAGGGCAUAAGAGACCCGAUUACACCCCGAGCAUCAUCGGCAUUUGAUGCUCAGAGGGGGAGCUCUUCUCUACAACACACACUAGGGUAGUUGUGAGUGUAGUCCAUGUGCACAACUAGGCUGUGAAUCAAAGGGCUGGAGGAGAAGGCUGUGCACGAGAUAGGUUGCUCUAUAUUGGGCCCAACUUGCAAGUGAGGGUUGCAAAAGUGUGAGCUUUAUCUUCAGAAUUUUCCUUGCUUGAUGGCAUCGGCGUUUGCGUCACCGAGGGCAGCGGAAUUCAGGUAUUGCUCUGCAAGUUGGACUCGCUUCACGUUUUGCUGCUCUUGCACCAACAUUUGUCCAUACUCCAUCAGCUUCUCGAUGGUCAUGGCGGGCUUCUUGAAUUCCGGGGGGCCAUCCUUGGAGUUUACCAAGUUCUUUCCGAGGUUCUCCACUCCGGUUGCUGAAAUCCAGUUCCUAACCUCGUCGUCGUACACUCGGGCCCUCAAAGCGCCGAAGAAGUCUGCAUGCGGGAGAGAUAGGGUCAGUUUUUUCUGAGUUCUGAAGUUCGUAAUUAGUACCCAGAUCAUUCCGAAAUUGCGGUGUUAGAGGCAAAUGGGGGGUCGCUGGAAGCUCACCGAUGGAUUGCCCAGGAAACAUAUCGACCAUCUUGGUGACGUUGUCGUCGCUGAUGUUGUCCAAUCUGAAGAUACCCUUGCACACACCAAUUCUGUCCUCACGGGUGGGCGCCCAGUAGAACUUCUCCAUACGCCCAUCACGGAUCAGGGGUGCGUACAAAGUCGAGAAAUCGUUUCCGGUCACGAUGAUUGGCACACGAGGGAUCUCUUCCUUGUUGUACACUCCGGGCAGCUGCACGUUGGUGGGGCUGUCGGCGAUGUUCAUGAGGGUGGCGUUCACCAUCUGGUUGUUGACAGUGUAUUGGGUGGUACCUCCCAUACGUCCAGCACCAGCGUCGAGAUCGUUGAUGAAGAGACAGCACAUCUUACCCUUCUGGAUGAUGGCUGCAGCUUCCCUGUACCUCUGCCUGAUGAGCUUGGCGGGUUCUCCGGCGUUUCCAGACUCCAAUUCUCCAGCACUCAUCAUGAUAGGGCUGCAGACAUUGUCUUAAUUAAAUUUUGCCCCAGCGCCAUAGAGCAAAGUUUGAAAGUAACGAAGUCAUCGAAAUGUUUUACUCAAAGUAAGUGUCUGUGACAUGAAAGAAAACGGGAAACAAUAAGUUCAAACACAUGGAUAACCGAAAGUCGAUGGGACACGUCGAAAGUAUUUCACAUGGAAUCGCUACAACCGUUUGUCGGAAAGGUGAUUACCGCCAAGCGACCACCAGAAACAACGAAGUAACCAUCAAAAGCAGUGCAUGCUUUCACUUACUGGCACAUAGAGAUCUCGAAGGACAACGUAACGAGGCUGCUUAGCAACCCCCGUCCUGAACUGCAUAUCUUAAGGAACUCCUGAAGUAAGCAGAAGUUUUUACUCACUUGAUUCCGAGCUUCUUCAUGACCAGCUCACUCUGGAAAGACUUUCCCUGACCCUUACCACCCCACACGCCGAGGAUGAGAGGAACCUUAAUGCCCGGUAAGUUCAUGAAGUUCUUGCAGACGUGAAUCACCAGCUUGUCCAUGAAAGCAGGCGCAAUGUACAGCCCAUCACUCGUGUUGUCAAAGUUGUAACUGCACAAUUCGCAACAUCCGUCGUAGCACUUCUGUGAGCACUAGGAAUGACCAAGUUCUCAAGGCCCACUGCAUACCGCAAACUUGACUCAAGAACAGACAUGGUGCAAAACUAUCACAAAUUCGAGUAACAAGCAUAUUGUUAAGGAGAAGCCCGCGUACGUCCGUUGUGCAGUGCUAACGUAGUCCCAGGAGCUCAUGGUCACAACCUGGGUUCCGAGGCCCGUAGCGCCCUGGAAGAGGGCGUCCACCAUACCCUUCCCCCGCUGGAUGUCUUGCUGGUCAUCGGAGAUGUCAUUGCCGAGUCCAGCCCACCUGUCCACCUUCUUCUUCUCGCCCUCGGCCUCGCACACAACACGGCUCUUGCCCUUGGCGACGCCGAGGGUCACAUUUACGGAGACCUUGCUACUGCACCCGAACAGCGCAGAGCUUGGUAGAGUGCUCUUGCUAGUUGCCUGCGCACUAACUGAGGCCUGCACCUGCACUCCAACCAUGACAUGUUAGGAAUUUCCUAUUUAUGGUCACCACCAGACGCUGAGAUUCAAAAGGAAAUCACCCUCGGCUUAACACCGCUGCCAUGUAUCCUAAAUUGACAACGAUUACACAUAAGAACGAAAAGAACAACAACAACAACAACAACAACAGGUUGAGGAAGGAUGUCCGGAGAGAAGAGUACCUUCGCAACGGCGAUGGACUGCAUAACUGCGCAGCUGGAAGCCAUAAGGGCAGAUCGACUGAAGAUGCAAACCCAGCAAGAGCAGAACUAUUUUCUGAGACAACGCUGCUGAUCAACCUUCAUGCAAUCGAAUCCGAUUCUGAACUGCAGAUAGCGGCUCAGUAACCUUAUACCAAGUAGACAGCCUCCGAACGCGCGCCGUGUGGACAGAAAGGAGGAGGAGAUAGAACGCCAGGGCCAAUUGCGACAAAGCAACCCGCGGGGAGAUAUUUGCUUGGCUGCAAACCUCUUAAGCCACAGCAGUCGUCAGAUACCCGAACACAAAGUAAAUAACAGAAAUAAAAUUUACGGGGGAAAUAAAAACGGAAAGUAAAAGAAAUUCGCAACUGGGUAAUGGCAACAAUGUGGCAGAGUUCGCAGGAAUUGGCCGAGCACCGGAUAAGGCAAGCACAAUGCAAUUCUGCUGCACUUAGUGCCGCUAUCUCUCACUUCACCGCGACCACAAGCUGUGGCGAAUGUGGGUCCCGCAAAGUGGCGCUUGUGCUCUUUUUGGGGUAUUAAUUCUUCAAGUCCAGGCAGGCAAUCGAUGCAAGCGAGGCGCGAUGCUCCCGUUCACUCAUUCAUUCAGUCAGUCACUCAGUAAAUGGAGGCUCAUGGACGAGAGGGUGAGUUCCAGAGUCUCACUCGUCCGUUCCGCCAUCGCCCAACUUGACCCCGCAUCGAUUGCUCCGUUGUGGAGAGUGUGCUGGAGAGAAAGAGGGAGGGAGAUGAUGGAAAGCUUCAGGAAUAAAAGUAUUCUCAAGCUUUUUCCCCAGACAUUUUCCCCAAUAGUAUUUUUAUUUUUAUUUUUUGGGAUUCCAAUCUCACAUUUAACUUUUGUAAUGGUGAUUUUUUUAAUUAGAUGGUAAUAUUAAAAUAGAAUUGGAAUUUUGACAUCUUUUUAGUUUGAUGGUUGUACAAUAUUUGGUGUUAUUACAUCCAAAUCUUAUUACUUUUCAAUUUGUUUGUCGUUGUUAUGCAUGCUUCUAAAGUCAUGUUUUAAACAAGAUGGUAAUAACAAAAUUGGAUUUUUUGCAUCCAAUUCUUGAUUAGUUUUUAUUUAUUUAUAAUUAUUGUGCAUAUUUUUAAUGUCAUGUUUGAUAUAAAUAAAAAUUGAUUUUAAUUAUUUAGUAAAGACUUUUUAGGAUUAGUAAUUAUAUAACCAUUGAUUACAAAACGAAAAUUCUAUUACAUUUAAUUAAAAUUUAACAAUAUAAUUAUGGAAGACAUUGAUUUUUAAACAAAAUAUAAAAAAUUACAAUAUUGUGUGCAAAAAAAACAUAAUUUAUUGAUAUUCUUAUUAUAUUUUGUUGAAAUAUUUAAUAAAAUGGAGAAUAAGACACAUAAAUUAAAACAUCUUUAAUUUUCUUUUGUUACGUAAGAUCCAAAUAAUCAAAUUGUUAUGAACUGUUUGAGUUGUUAAAAAAAUCUGACUUUAAAAUGCAAUUGAAAAAGCACUUAUCACAUUUGGAAUUUUAAAUUAGCUAUCUACAAAGUAUUAAACUUAUACGAUAUGUUGUUGUAGUACGAAAUGGAAUUACUGAUUAGUAAUAAAACAAUUAUUCACUAAAGAAUUUAAUGAAUAUGCAAUUGAACUAAAUAAUCCAUGUACUACUGAGUCGCUCACGCUGGUUAUACUUACGCAAAUUUUGAAAACAACUUUGCUGAAGUAACAAUGUUUUCAUGAUUUCAGCGGAACAGUUACAUACAUACUAUCGUUUAUUGGAACAAACCACAUUAUCCACUUCAACAAUUUCUUCAUUUUAGCAAUUACACUUUGUAGGCAGUCAUCAACUACAACAAGAAAAAUCUCAUGAUCACAGACAAGCCGCAAUCUUUUUACAGUCUACACAAACUAUUUUUCCAAUGUAUAUGUAUAUAUGUAUGCACACAUUGUUGUGUACCGAAGUAGUUUCGGUUCAAAAUCUAUUCAGUGAAUGGUACAAAAUAGGUCACUGUAUGAGUGAAAACAACCGUUCUCAAUUGAACUGGAACAGACACUGGAAGAUUAUUUCUAUUUGUUCACAAACACAUUUCUAUUUGUAUUCAUACAGAGGUUAUAUUGACUGCUUUUCAUUAGUUCAUUAGUUGCGUUUAAAAUUAUGGAGUAAAUUUAGGUAUGAUCGCGCAGAGGGUAUAAAUUUAUUCCGCUGUAUUCUCUGAACAAAUCAUGCAGCUCCACUAGCAUUCAGUAUACAUUCAGUGAUGAUCGUUAGUAUUCACCGUUUUCAACAAAGAGAAAGUAAAAAUUAACUCAAAAAGAGGUGUGUUGCCGACGAUGAACAUUCUGAGAGGAGAAUGACAAGACAUAAGUCAAUGUGUAGUUGUAAAGCAAGACAACAUCGCAGGCAGCGAUGAGAGAAGUUGCACACAACCAUGACAUAGCGACACAAACAUGAGGUGAUUCAAAAAUCAGUUGUAUUAGGAUCACACACUCCGCCUGCAAGUGCCAGGCGUAAAAGUGCCUCUGCUGGAAACGACACCGCUACGCGAUGUCAUUGAGCUAAUUCACAGCAAAUACAUUUUGGUACAGAAUGGACACCUCCAGCUGCAGAAUGGGCACUCCAUUUCAGUGCGAGGACUGGGAACAGGGAGAUAUGGCAAUCCUUCACUUUCAUGCACGCAGGAUCACUUCAACACACCCAAGGCACUAGAUUCCACAGGACGCUGAGAUCAGUGCUAGUCUCAUGUCCUGGACACUUUGCAUCUCUAUUCCUUCGCUUGCCUUCGCCACGCCUCUCUGCCCACCGCGCCGCGGCGGUUCCUCUACUGGGACGCUGGAGCUUGGCCUCCGGCGUAGAAAGUUCCUUGCUUGAUGGCAUCGGCGUUGGCAUCUCCCAGUGCGGCGGAAGACAGAUAUUGUUCGGCGAGCUGUACACGCUUUACGUUCUGUUGCUCCUGCACCAACAUUUCUCCGUACUCCAUCAGCUUCUCGAUGGUCAUGGCGGGCUUCUCGAAGGUUGGGGGUCCGUUCUUGGAGUUCACCAAGUUCUUUCCGAUGUUCUCCACUCCCGUACCUGCGAUCCACUUCCUCACCUCGUCGUCGUACACACGCGCCCUCAGGGCACCGAAGAAAUCUGAGUUACGAGAUAGUUCAGGUUAGAAUUCAGUCGAAGCCACAGUUUCAAUAAAUUAAUAUUAAACCAGCAUCAUCCAGCUGAACGCGAGAAUCAGUAGGGCCUUUUAUUACAUACCGAUGGACUGUCCAGGGAAUUGGUCAACCAACUUGGUAACAUUGUCGUCGCUGACGUUGUCCAAUCUGAAGAUACCCUUGCACACACCAAUUCGGUCCUCACGGGUGGGCGCCCAGUAGAACUUCUCCAUACGCCCAUCACGGAUCAGGGGUGCGUACAAAGUCGAGAAAUCGUUUCCGGUCACGAUGAUUGGCACACGAGGGAUCUCUUCCUUGUUGUACACUCCGGGCAGCUGCACGUUGGUGGGGCUGUCGGCGAUGUUCAUGAGGGUGGCGUUCACCAUCUGGUUGUUGACAGUGUAUUGGGUGGUACCUCCCAUACGUCCAGCACCAGCGUCGAGAUCGUUGAUGAAGAGGGCGCACAUCUUACCCUUCUUGAUGACAUCUGCGGCUUCCCUGUACCUCUGCCUGAUGAGCUUGGCGGGUUCUCCAGCGUUUCCAGACUCCAGCUCUCCAGCACUCAUGACGAUAGGGUUAAUGCCGAGCUUGGCCAUAACAAGCUCACACUGGAAGGACUUUCCUUGACCCUUUCCUCCCCAGAUACCCAGGAUGAGGGGUACCUUGAUACCAGGCAAGUUCAUGAAGUUCUUGGCGAUGUGAAUAAUCAACUUGUCCAUGAAAGCAGG